CAGGGAGUGGUAUAAGAUGAGCUUUAAAGUCCCUUCCAACCCAAACCAUUCUGGAAUUCUAUAAAGGCCGGCUCUGAAGUGUUGAUAUUUAAUGCCUGAAGCUGCAGAAAUUUGCAUAUUUUAGAAAACAUUUAGAAGCUGUCAAAGACUUGGUGUCUCUUCCAUUUUCUCCGUGUGCUAUGUUAGGUAGUUACACUUAUGUGGGCAGAAAUCCUGUCGUGGAUGAGGUUAUGCUGGCAGGAAUUAGUCAUGUUAGAGUGACAAAGGAACCUCUCUGCCGAGGCAGCCGUGCCACCCAGUGGAAAUGCAGCACACCCUGUUGCAUAUCCAGAAAACCUUUUUCUGUGUUUGAAAGAUGAUCUUGGAGACAGGAACUAAAUCUGGCACAUCAAGUGUUGGAAAAAUGUCAUACAACUCAAAAAAAAAAAAAAAAAUAGGAAGGCAGUUGAUGCUUAGUUUUGGGUAAGGAAGAAAAAGUGCUUUGGACAGCUCUUCUAAAGAGGGUCUGUAAGGACUGAUGGUGGAUAAAAGCCAGGAAAGGCAAAAGCAUGGGAAAAAUUGCUACAACAUCCAUAGUUUCAGUGAGAUGGAUGCAAUCCAAGAGGGUUUAGAGCUGAAAAAACCAGCGUGGAGCUGGUUUGUUGUGGAAGCUGUUUAGUAGGACGGAUUUAGCACGGCACACGUAGCACCACGCUUCCAGAAACAGGCGUUUCACAGACCUCUCUGAGAGUCACCAGUUGGUUGUGAACGCUGUUGGAAGAACUCUCCUGCCAGAUCCCUGUUGGAAUUGUGCUUCCCAGCCUUCCUCUCUUCCCAGUGCAGCGUGAGCCCAGCAGCCUCAAUCAUCUCACCUACCUGCUUGUAAUUUUGGGAGCAGCUCAUGGAUAUUCAGGAGGCCUUGACCGGUGGCCUGAAGGUUUUGCAGGGUAUAAUUUCUGGGCAGGUGCAGUCAAGUCCUUCCUGCCUCUCAUGGCUCUUCAGGAUAAAGGUUUCGUGUUUCUGGCUGUUUAUGUGCUCCGAGGUGGCUGAGAGGUGGUGCCCUGACCAGCUGAGCUGGAGGUGGCAGGCUCUGGGCUUCUGGAAAGCCAGAGAUGUUUCCAGGGGCGUUGGCCUUCAGAAAACAAAGGGAUCUUAUCUCAUGGCACGCUGGAUGCAAGCAGGACUUCACUUUGAAUGCUGCCAGCUCUGUUUUUCUGCUCCCUGCCAAAUGACUUUAACUCCUGAACCCUCCUUCCAUUUACUCUUUUUGCAUCCCAGCUGCAGGGAAGAUAAUUUGGAGUAGAGUUUACAUGUGGCAGAAUGAAUGUCUGUUACAUUAAUGGGUUUCUCUCUGCUGAUAACAGUGCUUGUGCACCAGGAAAGCUUCAAGAGAUAAUUGGUUAAUUCAGGAGUCCAUUUGUUAAUUCUGAUGACUCUAAAAAUCCCAUCAAGAUCCCA
This is a non-coding RNA of Cyanistes caeruleus (blue tit), 1437 nucleotides long. The record is from RefSeq and is a predicted model, not a curated record. NCBI's taxonomy places the organism in Eukaryota, Metazoa, Chordata, Aves, Passeriformes, Paridae.